RNAcentral lists this ribosomal RNA (497 nucleotides) under uncultured bacterium. RNAcentral describes it as "partial 16S ribosomal RNA". It matches the Rfam family "Bacterial small subunit ribosomal RNA", at positions 28 to 507 of the family's 1533-position model. The record is from RNAcentral.
GACGAACGCUGGCGGCGUGCCUAAUACAUGCAAGUUGAGCGCUGAAGGUUGGUACUUGUACCGACUGGAUGAGCAGCGAACGGGUGAGUAACGCGUGGGGAAUCUCCCUUUGAGCGGGGGACAACAUUUGGAAACGAAUGCUAAUACCGCAUAAAAACUUUAAACACAAGUUUUAAGUUUGAAAGAUGCAAUUGCAUCACUCAAAGAUGAUCCCGCGUUGUAUUAGCUAGUUGGUGAGGUAAAGGCUCACCAAGGCGAUGAUACAUAGCCGACCUGAGAGGGUGAUCGGCCACAUUGGGACUGAGACACGGCCCAAACUCCUACGGGAGGCAGCAGUAGGGAAUCUUCGGCAAUGGACGAAAGUCUGAGCGAGCAACGCCGCGUGAGUGAAGAAGGUUUUCGGAUCGUAAAACUCUGUUGGUAGAGAAGAACGUUGGUGAGAGUGGAAAGCUCAUCAAGUGACGGUAACUACCCAGAAAGGGACGGCUAACUACGUG